RNAcentral lists this ribosomal RNA (235 nucleotides) under uncultured Thauera sp. RNAcentral's name for it is "partial 16S ribosomal RNA". It matches the Rfam family "Bacterial small subunit ribosomal RNA", at positions 1148 to 1382 of the family's 1533-position model. The record is from RNAcentral. Lineage: Bacteria; Pseudomonadati; Pseudomonadota; Betaproteobacteria; Rhodocyclales; Zoogloeaceae.
ACUGCCGGUGACAAACCGGAGGAAGGUGGGGAGUGACGUCAAGUCCUCAUGGCCCUUAUGGUAGGGCUUCACACGUCAUACAAUGGUCGGUACAGAGGGUUGCCAAGCCGCGAGGUGGAGCCAAUCCCUUAAAGCCGAUCGUAGUCCGGAUCGUAGUCUGCAACUCGACUACGUGAAGUCGGAAUCGCUAGUAAUCGCAGAUCAGCAUGCUGCGGUGAAUACGUUCCCGGGUCUU